Cyprinus carpio carpio is the source of this 1384-nucleotide long non-coding RNA. NCBI's taxonomy places the organism in Eukaryota, Metazoa, Chordata, Actinopteri, Cypriniformes, Cyprinidae. The record is from Ensembl.
CUUGAAAACAUUUAAAAAAAUAUUAAAGUCCCCAAACUUUUAAACAUGAGUGUAUCUUAGGAUCUAUUCCAAAUCCUACUGAGCUGAUCAUGUUGAGGCAUAAUUUGUGUGCUACAGACGCAUAAUUAUGCUGCCUUAUAACUUAUGUAACAUUCUUUUAGCCACAUUUUAAGACAGCACUGCAUGGUUCCUUUGUGGUGAAGGCAAUCCCAAGGAUUUCCAUAAGCUCAGUAAGAUAAAAAAAAAAAAAAAAAUGUAUCCAAGAUGAGAGACAAAGCACAAAGCAAUUCAAGCGUUGAUUCUAAAUAUCAUUUAAUCCAAUAAAAAUGCCCUGUGUGUUAUUUACAGUGUUGCUGACAAUUAAGCGCAUUCUAAAUCAGUCACUUAUGAGCUUCCAUUUCAGUCAGGAAUCUGCUUUAGAAGGCGACUGCCAGUGUAUACAGGCAUUAGACACCAAGGCAGCUCACUAGGUUUUGGGACAGAGUCCGAGUGUUUAGACGGCCGACUCUGAGAAAGCUCGUUCUGUGAAUGGGGAAUCUGCGCCGGCCGAAUCCAGCUCUCCCUCUCCUCCAGUACAGCUGCUCCAGACUCACGUGUUGCUAUUCCUAGCCGCACCCAGGAGCUAUAAAUAGCUGUCUUUCUUUGCAGACCGCUGGAACACGUGCCGUCAGCCUUCGAGGCAAGAGGAGCCAAUCAGUGGAGAAACUGGAACCAUGUGAUUUUAUUGUUUUUAGAUGGAAGUUAUGGUCAUAUCUGUGUUUGUGGAGAUAAAAUGACUGUCCUUCACAGAAGAGCUCUAUUGAAGAAUGUUAUGUUUGCCUUUGAAUAGAUGGAUAAGUCAAAGAAUACAACAAAAGCGGAAGACGUUUUAUCAGAUAUACAGGAGCCACAAUUUUCUUCAGUCUUGAUGAUGCUUUGUUAAUGGUUACUGACUGCAGUGAUGUCAUCCGAAGAGAAAUCCUCUUCAGCUUAACUUGAUGCGCACAUGCAACGGAUCUCAGUGAAGAUGUGUUGCUCGGCAACCGUACGCAGAAGUGAGGAGUGGGAGUGGACUCUGACUGAGCCGAAUGACGCAAAACAGCAUUUAUCACCAGCACACGUUCAAUAUUUCUGCUAACCUAUUCAGGGCCUUUAAAGAAAUAAACAUAUUUAUUGCUGCACAAAGAAUACGCCCUAUAUGAAUAAAAUAACACAUGUGAGUGUCGCCAUAGCAACUUUUGGAAACUUAAUCACAUCUGUGAUGAUCUGUAAUAUCCUAAGUAAAAACUGAACCAGAGCAGAGUGGGGAGUUAUUGUGCUUAGAUUGUAAAUCAUCAAGUCCAAGCUUGUUGGAAACUCUGUGUUGUGAAAUCUGGCAUACAGAAGUAAUUUACUCAGUGUUCAG